UACGGAGGGGGCUAGCGUUGUUCGGAAUUACUGGGCGUAAAGCGCACGUAGGCGGACCUGUAAGUCAGGGGUGAAAUCCCGGGGCUCAACCCCGGAACUGCCCUUGAGACUGCCGGUCUCGAGGUCGAGAGAGGCGGGUGGAAUUCCGAGUGUAGAGGUGAAAUUCGUAGAUAUUCGGAGGAACACCAGUGGCGAAGGCGGCCCGCUGGCUCGAUGCUGACGCUGAGGUGCGAAAGCGUGGGGAGCAAACAGG
RNAcentral lists this ribosomal RNA (253 nucleotides) under uncultured bacterium. RNAcentral's name for it is "partial 16S ribosomal RNA". It matches the Rfam family "Bacterial small subunit ribosomal RNA", at positions 524 to 776 of the family's 1533-position model. The record is from RNAcentral.